RNAcentral lists this transfer RNA (74 nucleotides) under Actinomycetota bacterium. Its description in RNAcentral is "tRNA-Val". It matches the Rfam family "tRNA". From Rfam's summary of the family: Transfer RNA (tRNA) molecules are approximately 80 nucleotides in length. Their secondary structure includes four short double-helical elements and three loops (D, anti-codon, and T loops). The record is from RNAcentral. Lineage: Bacteria; Bacillati; Actinomycetota.
GGGCGCGUGGCUCAGUUGGUUAGAGCGUUCGCUUCACACGCGAGAGGUCGCAGGUUCGAGUCCUGCCGCGCCCA